This 497-nucleotide ribosomal RNA is filed under the name uncultured bacterium. Its description in RNAcentral is "partial 16S ribosomal RNA". It matches the Rfam family "Bacterial small subunit ribosomal RNA", at positions 28 to 507 of the family's 1533-position model. The record is from RNAcentral.
GACGAACGCUGGCGGCGUGCCUAAUACAUGCAAGUAGAACGCUGAAGAGAGGAGCUUGCUCUUCUUGGAUGAGUUGCGAACGGGUGAGUAACGCGUAGGUAACCUGCCUUGUAGCGGGGGAUAACUAUUGGAAACGAUAGCUAAUACCGCAUAACAAUGGAUGACCCAUGUCAUUUAUUUGAAAGGGGCAAAUGCUCCGCUACAAGAUGGACCUGCGUUGUAUUAGCUAGUAGGUGAGGUAACGGCUCACCUAGGCGACGAUACAUAGCCGACCUGAGAGGGUGAUCGGCCACACUGGGACGGAGACACGGCCCAGACUCCUACGGGAGGCAGCAGUAGGGAAUCUUCGGCAAUGGGGGCAACCCUGACCGAGCAACGCCGCGUGAGUGAAGAAGGUUUUCGGAUCGUAAAGCUCUGUUGUAAGUCAAGAACGAGUGUGAGAGUGGAAAGUUCACACUGUGACGGUAGCUUACCAGAAAGGGACGGCUAACUACGUG